This 406-nucleotide ribosomal RNA is filed under the name uncultured bacterium. RNAcentral's name for it is "partial 16S ribosomal RNA". It matches the Rfam family "Bacterial small subunit ribosomal RNA", at positions 30 to 526 of the family's 1533-position model. The record is from RNAcentral.
AUUGAACGCUGGCGGCAGGCCUAACACAUGCAAGUCGAACGAGUGGCGGACGGGUGAGUAAUGUCUGGGACACUGCCCGAUGGAGGGGGAUAACUACUGGAAACGGAAGCUAAAACCGUAUACAUGCGGCUGUGCCCAAAUGGGAUUAGCUAGUAGGGGGGGUAACGGCUAACCUGGGCGACGAUCCCUAGCUGGUCUGAGAGGAUGACCAGCCACACUGGAACUGAGACACGGUCCAGACUCCUACGGGAGGCAGCAGUGGGGAAUAUUGCACAAUGGGCGCAAGCCUGAUGCAGCCAUGCCGCGUGUAUGAAGAAGGCCUUCGGGUUGUAAAGUACUUUCAGCGAGGAGGCGUUACUCGCAGAAGAAGCACCGGCUAACUCCGUGCCAGCAGCCGCGGUAAUUC